CCACGCCUUUAAUGUGCAGAGGGUGUGGCGUGCUCACUGAGGACACACAUAGGACAGGGGUCAGAGGGCAGAUCAUUAUCACCAGGGCAACAGCAAGCACUCACACCUGGUCUGAUGAGGCAGAGUGAUGUCUUUGAUGGCCAGGACUCCUCUCUGACCGGUGCUGACCGCCUCAAACACCACCUUCCAAACAGACCAGAGCACAUCUGAUCAGUCAGGGGUACAAGAACCAACAAUAAGGAUGCGCCCUGAAGGUAGAUGGAGGUCAAACCAGCAGAUAACGGACUGAGUGGGAAUGGAUCAAAGCUUCAGAUGGACUUGGAACAUGAAAAAUCACAAUCAUUUCAACCAUCAUCACCUAACCCUUCAUGUUUUAAGCUGGCGGACAGGAAGUCAAGUGGAGAGAGGACUGAGGCCGCAUGCUCUACUGGCACGCCUGUGGCUCAGUGAGAAGAGUGGGGGCCUUGCAAACCCAGGGUUGUGGGUUUAGUUCCAGCUUCCUCCUGCCACAUGUCAACGUGCCUAGGCAAGGCACUUAACCUCAAAUUCGCUACCGAUCUAUGUAUCGUGUAUGAAUGUGUGUGGGUUAGUGAACAACAGUACAGGAGCAUAUUAAAAUACAGUCCAAACGUUUAAGAUAAUUGUCACAAAGCCAUGAUUAAGGAAGAAAGCAGGAGCCUGCUGCCAUUUUCUCAAUAUUUUUGACCCGUAUGUGAAAUCCUCCCAGAGGAAUCAGAUCAGAGAGGUUCAGCUCCUCUUGGAGAUGAUCAGCGGUGCAGAGAAAGAGAAGACAGUCUUCCUUUUAUCUGUACGGACCGAGGAAACACAAAGAGUAAUGAUACCCUGGAAUCAGACGUAGUGAAUGGUGGGUUUGGGUCGUAUAGAACAUCAACCACCGUCACAUUUCACCUGUGCUUUAACAGCUCCACUGGCUCCCAAUCAAACACCGCCUGGAAUUCAUCCUGCUCUAAACAUCAUCCAUCACCUCGCUCCUUCAUAUCUGUCGGACCUCCUCCACAUUAACACUCCCUCCCGGUCUCUUGGGUCAGCCUCAUGGUGCCUCCAGCUCGUCUGACCACUGUGGGAUCCAGGACCUUCAGCCGAUCUGCUCCCCGCCUCCGGAACGCCCUCCCUCCUGACAUCAGGGACACCGCCACUCUGUCUCUAUCCCGGCUGAAAACCAGCAUUUUACCGUGAUUAAACUCCAUGGUCCUUUUUUGUUCUCUGUUUGGUUGAAAUCUCAAACAUUUUGUUCUCAGAUUUCUGA
This is a long non-coding RNA of Girardinichthys multiradiatus, 1267 nucleotides long. RefSeq lists it as uncharacterized. NCBI's taxonomy places the organism in Eukaryota, Metazoa, Chordata, Actinopteri, Cyprinodontiformes, Goodeidae. The transcript has 3 exons. The record is from RefSeq and is a predicted model, not a curated record.